CCUACGGGAGGCAGCAGUGAGGAAUAUUGGUCAAUGGGCGAGAGCCUGAACCAGCCAAGUAGCGUGAAGGAUGACUGCCCUACGGGUUGUAAACUUCUUUUAUAUAGGAAUAAAGUGAUGCACGUGUGGGUUUUUGUAUGUACCUUAUGAAUAAGGCUCGGCUAACUCCGUGCCAGCAGCCGCGGUAAUACGGAGGAUCCGAGCGUUAUCCGGAUUUAUUGGGGUUAAAGGGAGCGUAGUUGGGUUGUUAAGUCAGUUGUGAAAGUUUGCGGCUCAACCGUAAAAUUGCAGUUGAUACUGGCAGUCUUGAGUACAGUAGAGGUAGGCGGAAUUCGUGGUGUAGCGGUGAAAUGCUUAGAUAUCACGAAGAACUCCGAUUGCGAAGGCAGCUUACUAGACUGCAACUGACAUUGAUGCUCGAAAGUGUGGGUAUCAAACAGGAUUAGAUACCCUAGUAGUC
RNAcentral lists this ribosomal RNA (460 nucleotides) under uncultured bacterium. RNAcentral's name for it is "partial 16S ribosomal RNA". It matches the Rfam family "Bacterial small subunit ribosomal RNA", at positions 338 to 795 of the family's 1533-position model. The record is from RNAcentral.